Molecule: ribosomal RNA, 475 nt
Filed under: uncultured bacterium
Lineage: Bacteria
Description: bacterial SSU rRNA
Rfam family: Bacterial small subunit ribosomal RNA
Source: RNAcentral
ACUCCUACGGGAGGGCAGCAGUAGGGGAAUCUUCCACAAUGGGCGCAAGCCUGAUGGAGCAACACCGCGUGAGUGAAGAAGGGUUUCGGCUCGUAAAGCUCUGUUGUUAAAGAAGAACACGUAUGAGAGUAACUGUUCAUACGUUGACGGUAUUUAACCAGAAAGUCACGGCUAACUACGUGCCAGCAGCCGCGGUAAUACGUAGGUGGCAAGCGUUAUCCGGAUUUAUUGGGCGUAAAGAGAGUGCAGGCGGUUUUCUAAGUCUGAUGUGAAAGCCUUCGGCUUAACCGGAGAAGUGCAUCGGAAACUGGAUAACUUGAGUGCAGAAGAGGGUAGUGGAACUCCAUGUGUAGCGGUGGAAUGCGUAGAUAUAUGGAAGAACACCAGUGGCGAAGGCGGCUACCUGGUCUGCAACUGACGCUGAGACUCGAAAGCAUGGGUAGCGAACAGGAUUAGAUACCCUGGUAGGAUAGCG